Molecule: transfer RNA, 73 nt
Filed under: Chloroflexota bacterium
Lineage: Bacteria; Bacillati; Chloroflexota
Description: Chloroflexi bacterium tRNA-Ile
Rfam family: tRNA
About the family: Transfer RNA (tRNA) molecules are approximately 80 nucleotides in length. Their secondary structure includes four short double-helical elements and three loops (D, anti-codon, and T loops). Further hydrogen bonds mediate the characteristic L-shaped molecular structure. tRNAs have two regions of fundamental functional importance: the anti-codon, which is responsible for specific mRNA codon recognition, and the 3' end, to which the tRNAs corresponding amino acid is attached (by aminoacyl-tRNA synthetases). tRNAs cope with the degeneracy of the genetic code in two manners: having more than one tRNA (with a specific anti-codon) for a particular amino acid; and 'wobble' base-pairing, i.e. permitting non-standard base-pairing at the 3rd anti-codon position.
Source: RNAcentral
GGGCCCAUAGCUCAGCGGUUAGAGCUGCUCCCUCAUAAGGAGAAGGUCCCUGGUUCGAAUCCAGGUGGGCCCA